Molecule: ribosomal RNA, 445 nt
Filed under: uncultured bacterium
Lineage: Bacteria
Description: partial 16S ribosomal RNA
Rfam family: Bacterial small subunit ribosomal RNA
Source: RNAcentral
AACGAACGCUGGCGGCAGGCUUAACACAUGCAAGUCGAGCGCCCGCAAGGGAGCGGCAGACGGGUGAGUAACGCGUGGGAAUCUACCUAGUUCUACGGAACAACACAGGGAAACUUGUGCUAAUACCGUAUACGCCCUACGGGGGAAAGAUUUAUCGGAAUUAGAUGAGCCCGCGUUGGAUUAGCUAGUUGGUGGGGUAAUGGCCUACCAAGGCGACGAUCCAUAGCUGGUCUGAGAGGAUGAUCAGCCACACUGGGACUGAGACACGGCCCAGACUCCUACGGGAGGCAGCAGUGGGGAAUAUUGGACAAUGGGCGAAAGCCUGAUCCAGCCAUGCCGCGUGAGUGAUGAAGGCCUUAGGGUUGUAAAGCUCUUUCAGUAGGGAAGAUAAUGACGGUACCUACAGAAGAAGCCCCGGCUAACUUCGUGCCAGCCGCCGCAGUAA